This is a long non-coding RNA of Ailuropoda melanoleuca (giant panda), 1080 nucleotides long. RefSeq lists it as uncharacterized. NCBI's taxonomy places the organism in Eukaryota, Metazoa, Chordata, Mammalia, Carnivora, Ursidae. The record is from RefSeq and is a predicted model, not a curated record. The transcript has 3 exons.
GCUGUAGAUAACAUGGUUUCACACUCGCUGCCGAAGCCCGGCUUUCCUAAUUGGUCAGUGUUAUUUUGCUGACAUGGAGAACAAACGUUAACAUUAUAAAAAUAUGAAGACAAGUGUCCUCAGGGGCCUGAAGUAUUGACUACCAACAGCCUCUUCACAUUCUUAAUCUUGGGAAGUAAAAAGCUUUUACCCAAAGAGAAAUAUCUCGAAGAAGACAGACAGAUGCAAAGGUGGGCAGACACAAAGAGGCAAUGAGAGAGAAAGCCGAGAGCGUUUAGCCCUCAUGUCAGUGUCGGAGUGGGUAUGCAGCCCGGCUCAGGACAAGGAAUGCAAACCACUCACCAUCACUGGGACUUGGAGUCAAUGUGUAUGAUGGCUCAACUGGACUCCAGACACAUAAGCAGAAGAAUAAGGGACGCUUAUAAAGGCCUUGGCUUUUACCCAAGUUAUGAUGCUAUGUCAAGGUCAAGCUGAUGUGCAAAUAACCAGAGUUUUUCCCAUGGGGGUGCUCAUGAGAUGGGAAACACAGGGGAUGACGGCAACUUUCACCUUGAAAAACUCUUGGGGAGAUUUCUCAACAUGGGUUUACGACAACCAUCCUCUCUGGCCUAGGAGUUGAAAACAAUCUGGCUCAUCACCAGCAUGCCGGAUCAGCAUGUGAGCUCAGUGAAGCAGUUAUCCCCAGUCGUGGGGGGUACGUGGAAGGAUCUAUGUUUAUGGGAUUAUUUUAAAGAUUUGCUUAUUUUAUAUAUAGUAUUCUCUUAUGGAUGUCUUGCUUGUAUUCUUUGUUGAAGAAAUAUCAUGGCUUUAUAAUCAUGAGGGCAUACUGUAAAUCUUUCACCUGUUUAAUAAAUUACAUGAAAUAAGAUGCAUUAUAUAUAUAUAUAUAUAUAUAUAUAUAUAUAAAAUUACGAUGUAUUGAUUCUGAGUAUUUUGAGAUAUACUCUAAUGCUUAGAGUAUGCCAGAGACUGUAGCAAUAUAUCAAUUCAUUAUAAAUUAAUAUAUCAAUUCCUUUCCCACCCAUGCUAUGAACUCGGUAUUAUUAUUACCAUCCAUAUUUUAUUGACGAGGAAACUGAG